AGUGAACGCUGGCGGUAGGCCUAACACAUGCAAGUCGAACGGCAGCACAGUAAGAGCUUGCUCUUACGGGUGGCGAGUGGCGGACGGGUGAGGAAUACAUCUGAAUCUACUUUUUCGUGGGGGAUAACGUAGGGAAACUUACGCUAAUACCGCAUACGACCUACGGGUGAAAGCAGGGGAUCUUCGGACCUUGCGCGAUUGAAUGAGCCGAUGUCGGAUUAGCUAGUUGGCGGGGUAAAGGCCCACCAAGGCGACGAUCCGUAGCUGGUCUGAGAGGAUGAUCAGCCACACUGGAACUGAGACACGGUCCAGACUCCUACGGGAGGCAGCAGCGGGGAAUAUUGGACAAUGGGCGCAAGCCUGAUCCAGCCAUACCGCGUGGGUGAAGAAGGCCUUCGGGUUGUAAAGCCCUUUUGUUGGGAAAGAAAAGCAGCAGGUUAAUACCCCGCUGUUCUGACGGUACCCAAAGAAUAAGCACCGGCUAACUUCGUG
This 492-nucleotide ribosomal RNA is filed under the name uncultured bacterium. RNAcentral's name for it is "partial 16S ribosomal RNA". It matches the Rfam family "Bacterial small subunit ribosomal RNA", at positions 29 to 507 of the family's 1533-position model. The record is from RNAcentral.